CCGGAAGUGCGAUUUAGAAGAAACACCGCAAGUGCGAUUAGGGUCUGCUACUGUGUGUGUGACGCAGCCUCUCCUGCUCCCCAAGAAGCCACCGUGACCUCACGUUCCUCAUUCCUCAGACAGUGCUGGUGUUGACCUGUGUGCCUGAGGUUGUCGCUGUCAAACAAAUCCAGAUGUAUGGAAAGUCAGGAAACUGAGGCCUGGCUCUUCCUCCAGCCUUGAGAAGAGGGGCCCUCCCAGCCAGCUUUGGAGAGGUCAGACAGAUGGGCCUUACCCUGCCAGUGAGCAAGGCCAGCCGGCCAGGGACCUGAGAGUGCCUGCUCCUUAAUGUGCAGGAGCAAACCAAGGACUCAGCCUGGUCUCAGAUUGGCUGAAAGUAGCAUGUUUGUGAAGCACUCUAAGCCUC
RNAcentral lists this long non-coding RNA (406 nucleotides) under Fukomys damarensis (Damara mole-rat). RNAcentral's name for it is "lncRNA (ENSFDAG00000031616.1)". Lineage: Eukaryota; Metazoa; Chordata; Mammalia; Rodentia; Bathyergidae. The record is from RNAcentral.